UACGUAGGGGGCUAGCGUUGUCCGGAUUAUUGGGCGUAAAGAGCGUGUAGGCGGCCAGGUAGGUCUGGUGUGAAAACUCGAGGCUUAACCUCGAGAUGUCAUCGGAAACCAUCUGGCUAGAGUCCGGAAGAGGAGAGUGGAAUUCCUGGUGUAGCGGUGAAAUGCGCAGAUAUCAGGAAGAACACCAAUGGCGAAAGCAGCUCUCUGGGACGGUACUGACGCUGAGACGCGAAAGCGUGGGGAGCGAACAGG
This 252-nucleotide ribosomal RNA is filed under the name uncultured bacterium. Its description in RNAcentral is "partial 16S ribosomal RNA". It matches the Rfam family "Bacterial small subunit ribosomal RNA", at positions 524 to 776 of the family's 1533-position model. The record is from RNAcentral.